This is a long non-coding RNA of Oreochromis aureus, 449 nucleotides long. RefSeq lists it as uncharacterized. Lineage: Eukaryota; Metazoa; Chordata; Actinopteri; Cichliformes; Cichlidae. The record is from RefSeq and is a predicted model, not a curated record. The transcript is spliced from 2 exons.
UGUGAUGAUUAAUGAUAGUGGAACAUACGAGUGUCGUGUCUUAAUGGAAGAAACAGACUCGUGGAAGUCCAUCAGCAUCACCCACCUUCAUUUUGAUACUUCAUGUCCAUCAGGAGGACAUCCUGCCUGGAUAGUUCUGUUAGUUGUUUUGGUUAUUAUUCUUGUGCUUCUUAUUGCUUAUUGUAUAUAUAUAAAAAACAACUAAAAAACAAAGAAGCUAUUAUCAUUCCUGCUGCUGUUUGAAUGAGUCAUUGUUAUCGAUAAAGAAGACAGAUGAUCAAAGAGAGAAAAAAGUGAUGAUGUUGAGCUUCAUCUUCAAUCUCCACAACUAAACUGUGAGUUAGAUGAUGUGAGGAUAUAAAUGAACUCUCUUGAACAUCCAGCAGACUGCUAUAGAGGUCAAACAUCUGUGAUUAUCAUCAUGUUUACCAUUAAAGCUUCUGCUGUGA